This 74-nucleotide transfer RNA is filed under the name Chitinophaga filiformis. RNAcentral's name for it is "tRNA-Gly". It matches the Rfam family "tRNA". From Rfam's summary of the family: Transfer RNA (tRNA) molecules are approximately 80 nucleotides in length. Their secondary structure includes four short double-helical elements and three loops (D, anti-codon, and T loops). Further hydrogen bonds mediate the characteristic L-shaped molecular structure. tRNAs have two regions of fundamental functional importance: the anti-codon, which is responsible for specific mRNA codon recognition, and the 3' end, to which the tRNAs corresponding amino acid is attached (by aminoacyl-tRNA synthetases). tRNAs cope with the degeneracy of the genetic code in two manners: having more than one tRNA (with a specific anti-codon) for a particular amino acid; and 'wobble' base-pairing, i.e. permitting non-standard base-pairing at the 3rd anti-codon position. The record is from RNAcentral. Lineage: Bacteria; Pseudomonadati; Bacteroidota; Chitinophagia; Chitinophagales; Chitinophagaceae.
GCGGGAAUAGCUCAGUUGGCAGAGCAUUAGUUUCCCAAACUAAAGGUUCGCGGGUCCGAGUCCCGUUUCCCGCU